Long non-coding RNA from Bombina bombina (fire-bellied toad), 371 nucleotides. RefSeq lists it as uncharacterized. Lineage: Eukaryota; Metazoa; Chordata; Amphibia; Anura; Bombinatoridae. The transcript is spliced from 2 exons. The record is from RefSeq and is a predicted model, not a curated record.
CAUGUACCAUCACAUCAGGAAGGUCUUCACUUGUUCUUCAUUCCUGACCAAUUAUCAGAGCCUUCUUUAACCUGUCCAAGGUCCUCACUACUGGUACACUCAAGAGACCCCAACGCUGCCCUCUCUGAGUCGGGGUCAUCUUGACACAAAUAUCCCUGUUGCCAGAAGCUCUUACUCCAUCUAACAGACUUGCAAGUAGUGAAUCUCUGUGGGAUAAAAAAAAUCAACAUCAUAUAAUGGUAAAAUCCAAUUUUGUUAUUGUGAAACUAAAUUAUUUUACAUUCGUUUUCCCUCAGUAUGGAAAGAAUUUACCAUAAACAUCCCAUUUAAACCUCAUUGAAUCUCAUUGAAUUAAAUUAAGUUAAACACUU